This 468-nucleotide ribosomal RNA is filed under the name uncultured bacterium. RNAcentral describes it as "partial 16S ribosomal RNA". It matches the Rfam family "Bacterial small subunit ribosomal RNA", at positions 28 to 507 of the family's 1533-position model. The record is from RNAcentral.
GACGAACGCUGGCGGCGUGCUUAACACAUGCAAGUCGAACGGAAAGGCCCUGCUUUUGUGGGGUGCUCGAGUGGCGAACGGGUGAGUAACACGUGAGUAACCUGCCCUUGACUUUGGGAUAACUUCAGGAAACUGGGGCUAAUACCGGAUAGGAGCCCCCGUUGCAUGGUGGGGGUUGGAAAGUUUCGGCGGUUGGGGCUGGACUCGCGGGUUAUCAGCUUGUUGGUGGGGUAGUGGCUUACCAAGGCAUUGACGGGUAGCCGGCCUGGGAGGGUAACCGGCCACAAUGGGACUGAGAUACGGCCCAGACUCCUACGGGAGGCAGCAGUGGGGAAUAUUGCACAAUGGGCGGAAGCCUGAUGCAGCAACGCCGCGUGCGGGAUGACGGCCUUCGGGUUGUAAACCGCUUUCGCCUGUGACGAAGCGUGAGUGACGGUAAUGGGUAAAGAAGCACCGGCUAACUACGUG